Molecule: ribosomal RNA, 440 nt
Filed under: uncultured bacterium
Lineage: Bacteria
Description: partial 16S ribosomal RNA
Rfam family: Bacterial small subunit ribosomal RNA
Source: RNAcentral
CCUACGGGAGGCUGCAGUGGGGGAUAUUGCACAAUGGGGGAAACCCUGAUGCAGCCACGCCGCGUGUGGGAAGAAGGUUUUCGGAUUGUUAACCACUGUUCUUGGUGAAGCUAAUGACGGUAACCAUGGACAAAGCUCCGGCUAACUACGUGCCAGCAGCCGCGGUUAUACGUCGGGAGCAAGCGUUGUCCGGAUUUACUGGGGGUAAAGGGUGCGUAGGUGGUCUUGUAAGUCCGACGUGAAAACCACAGGUUCAACCUGUGGACUGCGGUUGAAACUGUGGGGCUUGAGUGAAGUAGAGGUAUGCGGAAUGCGCGGUGUAGCGGUGAAAUGCGUAGAGAUCGCGAAGAACACCGAUGGCGAAGGCGGCAUACUGGGCUUUCACUGACGCUGAGGCACGAAAGCGUGGGUAGCGAACAGGAUUAGAUACCCCGGUAGUC